RNAcentral lists this ribosomal RNA (712 nucleotides) under Lutibacter sp. Its description in RNAcentral is "bacterial SSU rRNA". It matches the Rfam family "Bacterial small subunit ribosomal RNA", at positions 28 to 730 of the family's 1533-position model. Lineage: Bacteria; Pseudomonadati; Bacteroidota; Flavobacteriia; Flavobacteriales; Flavobacteriaceae. The record is from RNAcentral.
GAUGAACGCUAGCGGCAGGCUUAACACAUGCAAGUCGAGGGGUAACAGGGAAGAGCUUGCUUUUCCGCUGACGACCGGCGCACGGGUGAGUAACGCGUAUAGAACCUACCUUUUACAGGGGAAUAGCCCAGAGAAAUUUGGAUUAAUGCCCUAUAGUAUUAUUGAAUGGCAUCAUUUAGUAAUUAAACAUUUAUGGGUAAAAGAUGGCUAUGCGUUCUAUUAGCUAGAUGGUAAGGUAACGGCUUACCAUGGCAACGAUAGAUAGGGGUCCUGAGAGGGGAGAUCCCCCACACUGGUACUGAGACACGGACCAGACUCCUACGGGAGGCAGCAGUGAGGAAUAUUGGACAAUGGAGGCAACUCUGAUCCAGCCAUGCCGCGUGCAGGAAGACGGCCCUAUGGGUUGUAAACUGCUUUUAUACGGGAAGAAACCCAACUACGUGUAGUUGGCUGACGGUACCGUAAGAAUAAGCACCGGCUAACUCCGUGCCAGCAGCCGCGGUAAUACGGAGGGUGCAAGCGUUAUCCGGAAUCAUUGGGUUUAAAGGGUCCGUAGGCGGGCUAAUAAGUCAGGGGUGAAAUCCAACAGCUUAACUGUUGAACUGCCUUUGAUACUGUUAGUCUUGAAUUAUAUGGAAGUAGAUAGAAUGUGUAGUGUAGCGGUGAAAUGCUUAGAGAUUACACAGAAUACCGAUUGCGAAGGCAGUCUACU